UACGAAGGGGGCUAGCGUUGUCCGGAAUUAUUGGGCGUAAAGAGCUCGUAGGCGGCUUGUCACGUCGGGGGUGAAAGCUCGGGGCUUAACCCCGGGUCUGCAUUCGAUACGGGCUGGCUGGAGUGUGGUAGGGGAGAUCGGAAUUCCUGGUGUAGCGGUGAAAUGCGCAGAUAUCAGGAGGAACACCGGUGGCGAAGGCGGCAUCCUGGACCGGCAUUGACGCUGAGGAGCGAAAGCCAGGGGAGCAAACGGG
This 253-nucleotide ribosomal RNA is filed under the name uncultured bacterium. RNAcentral describes it as "partial 16S ribosomal RNA". It matches the Rfam family "Bacterial small subunit ribosomal RNA", at positions 524 to 776 of the family's 1533-position model. The record is from RNAcentral.